Pelobates cultripes (western spadefoot toad) is the source of this 215-nucleotide non-coding RNA. NCBI's taxonomy places the organism in Eukaryota, Metazoa, Chordata, Amphibia, Anura, Pelobatidae. The record is from the annotation of a GenBank genome assembly.
GGCAGAUUGGCAGACUAUCACAGGCUGCUAGGGACCUCUUAGGAGACUAUUGGGCCCCAGGCACGCGACGAUGCUGCCUCUACAUCUGGGCAUUCCCGGUCUGGUUGGCGUUUGGAUCGGAAUCUCAAUCCAUUAUAAGGUGAGUUCGGAUAGUUCAACAACCCUUGCCCCGGUCUGGGAACUCCCGAUGGGCAAGGAUCCUCUUGUGUACCAGC